CCAAUAGCGUAUAUUAAAGUUGUUGCAGUUAAAAAGCUCGUAGUUGAAUUUCGGGAUUAGUACGUUGGUCGUGCCUUCGGUACGUACUGGUGUUACUGAUUCCUACCUUCUGACGAACCAUCAUGUCAUUAAUUUGGUGUGGUGGGGAAUCAGGACUGUUACUUUGAAAAAAUUAGAGUGUUUAAAGCAGGCUCGCGCUUGAAUACAUUAGCAUGGAAUAAUGAAAUAGGACGUUGAUCCUAUUUUGUUGGUUUCUAGGAUUGACGUAAUGAUUAAUAGGGAUAGUUGGGGGCAUUAGUAUUCAAUUGUCAGAGGUGAAAUUCUUGGAUUUAUUGAAGACUAACUACUGCGAAAGCAUUUGCCAAGGAUGUUUUCAUUAAUCAAGAACGAAAGUUAGGGGAUCGAAGACGAUCAGAUACCGUCGUAGUCUUAACCAUAAACUAUGCCGACUAGGGAUCGGAUGAUGUUAUUUUUAAUGACUCAUUCGGCGCCUUACG
Molecule: ribosomal RNA, 497 nt
Filed under: uncultured Glomeromycotina
Lineage: Eukaryota; Fungi; Glomeromycota
Description: SSU rRNA
Rfam family: Eukaryotic small subunit ribosomal RNA
Source: RNAcentral